Nicotiana tabacum (common tobacco) is the source of this 1156-nucleotide non-coding RNA. Lineage: Eukaryota; Viridiplantae; Streptophyta; Magnoliopsida; Solanales; Solanaceae. The record is from RefSeq and is a predicted model, not a curated record.
UUAUUACAGUAUAUAUUAUAAUUAUUUUUACAAUAGGUAAAGGCAGGUAAUUAUUUUGGAUAGAAUAGGUAUAUAGUGUAAUAUCCAACUCGCCCAUUUACCCCACUCGCAAAAUAACCUAUCUCCCCAAAUCCAUUUAGACCAGACCCCUCCGUCAAAAACAAAACCCUAGCUGUCUCCCUUCUCUUCUUCUCUCUCGAACGCCCAACCCUAGCAGCCGCCCAAUCUCUCACCUCACUCUCAGAGAAGGACAUGAAAAGUUCUCCCUCAUCUGCACACUCCUUCAAUCCUUCAUUCCUUCACUCACGCCUAUACACACACUCCUCCCUGCACACUCAUUCCUAGAUAAUUCCAAAAAUAUUGAAAUCCAACAGUGUUCGCAACUAACUGGAAACUAAAGACGUCAAAGAUCAAAAAAAGAAAAUCUGAGAUAAAAAUAAAAAAAACGAACAGAAGAAAACUAGGAUUGAAAGGAAUUUUUUGGAAUCGUCUCAAUUGCUCGAUUAUCCUGCAUAUUCUGGGUUGUACGGGAGUGAUUUUAACUCAAAUCGAUGCUUGAUUUUGCUGCUGAUCGUUGAAUCUGUAUCGCUGUCCUCCAAUCAGCCGAUUUCUUCGCCUUUUAUCUAGUUUUUGGAGCUAUAGACCUGCGCUCUAGGGAUGGACGACGAUUUCUCGAUGCCAAGAUACCAUGACUACCGUCGCCCCAAAGGUGAAGAUGAGUCAUGAAUUGCUGCUUCUGAGUGUUAGUUUGCCUCCAACGAUACCGAUUCGUAUGAUACUGAAUGUUUUAUGUGUUUGUUUGAAGAUGGGGAUGAAGCUGAAAUGACGAGUUGGACGGUCUUUGUGCUUUUUGAUCUUGUGUGGUUUAAAUUUAUUUCAUUUUAGGGAUGAAGCUGAGUCUGCUGCUGGACAUGAGUCUAUUCCAGCUGCACAUGUGUGUGAUGAGUCUACUGCUGCACAUGAGUCUACUAGACAUGAGUCUACUGCACAUCGGUGUGAUGAGUCUACUGCACAUGGGUCUGCAAAUGAGUCUACUUCACAUGAAAGUGCAAGUGAGAUUACACAAAUGACAAACAAAGAAACUGUAAAAACGGAAAGAAACACAAACAAAGGAAAAACACCACAAAUGCUCGUUCCCCUAGCAGUAACAACAAAG